GUGACCUCAAAUCAGGUAGGACUACCCGCUGAACUUAAGCAUAUCAAUAAGCGGAGGAAAAGAAACUAACAAGGAUUCCCCUAGUAACUGCGAGUGAAGCGGGAAAAG
This 108-nucleotide ribosomal RNA is filed under the name uncultured Dermocybe. RNAcentral's name for it is "partial 28S ribosomal RNA". It matches the Rfam family "Eukaryotic large subunit ribosomal RNA", at positions 1 to 107 of the family's 3401-position model. Lineage: Eukaryota; Fungi; Basidiomycota; Agaricomycetes; Agaricales; Cortinariaceae. The record is from RNAcentral.